This 2930-nucleotide ribosomal RNA is filed under the name Escherichia coli. Its description in RNAcentral is "bacterial LSU rRNA". It matches the Rfam family "Bacterial large subunit ribosomal RNA". Lineage: Bacteria; Pseudomonadati; Pseudomonadota; Gammaproteobacteria; Enterobacterales; Enterobacteriaceae. The record is from RNAcentral.
GGGUUGUGAGGUUAAGCGACUAAGCGUACACGGUGGAUGCCCUGGCAGUCAGAGGCGAUGAAGGACGUGCUAAUCUGCGAUAAGCGUCGGUAAGGUGAUAUGAACCGUUAUAACCGGCGAUUUCCGAAUGGGGAAACCCAGUGUGUUUCGACACACUAUCAUUAACUGAAUCCAUAGGUUAAUGAGGCGAACCGGGGGAACUGAAACAUCUAAGUACCCCGAGGAAAAGAAAUCAACCGAGAUUCCCCCAGUAGCGGCGAGCGAACGGGGAGCAGCCCAGAGCCUGAAUCAGUGUGUGUGUUAGUGGAAGCGUCUGGAAAGGCGCGCGAUACAGGGUGACAGCCCCGUACACAAAAAUGCACAUGCUGUGAGCUCGAUGAGUAGGGCGGGACACGUGGUAUCCUGUCUGAAUAUGGGGGGACCAUCCUCCAAGGCUAAAUACUCCUGACUGACCGAUAGUGAACCAGUACCGUGAGGGAAAGGCGAAAAGAACCCCGGCGAGGGGAGUGAAAAAGAACCUGAAACCGUGUACGUACAAGCAGUGGGAGCACGCUUAGGCGUGUGACUGCGUACCUUUUGUAUAAUGGGUCAGCGACUUAUAUUCUGUAGCAAGGUUAACCGAAUAGGGGAGCCGAAGGGAAACCGAGUCUUAACUGGGCGUUAAGUUGCAGGGUAUAGACCCGAAACCCGGUGAUCUAGCCAUGGGCAGGUUGAAGGUUGGGUAACACUAACUGGAGGACCGAACCGACUAAUGUUGAAAAAUUAGCGGAUGACUUGUGGCUGGGGGUGAAAGGCCAAUCAAACCGGGAGAUAGCUGGUUCUCCCCGAAAGCUAUUUAGGUAGCGCCUCGUGAAUUCAUCUCCGGGGGUAGAGCACUGUUUCGGCAAGGGGGUCAUCCCGACUUACCAACCCGAUGCAAACUGCGAAUACCGGAGAAUGUUAUCACGGGAGACACACGGCGGGUGCUAACGUCCGUCGUGAAGAGGGAAACAACCCAGACCGCCAGCUAAGGUCCCAAAGUCAUGGUUAAGUGGGAAACGAUGUGGGAAGGCCCAGACAGCCAGGAUGUUGGCUUAGAAGCAGCCAUCAUUUAAAGAAAGCGUAAUAGCUCACUGGUCGAGUCGGCCUGCGCGGAAGAUGUAACGGGGCUAAACCAUGCACCGAAGCUGCGGCAGCGACGCUGAUGCGUUGUUGGGUAGGGGAGCGUUCUGUAAGCCUGUGAAGGUGUGCUGUGAGGCAUGCUGGAGGUAUCAGAAGUGCGAAUGCUGACAUAAGUAACGAUAAAGCGGGUGAAAAGCCCGCUCGCCGGAAGACCAAGGGUUCCUGUCCAACGUUAAUCGGGGCAGGGUGAGUCGACCCCUAAGGCGAGGCCGAAAGGCGUAGUCGAUGGGAAACAGGUUAAUAUUCCUGUACUUGGUGUUACUGCGAAGGGGGGACGGAGAAGGCUAUGUUGGCCGGGCGACGGUUGUCCCGGUUUAAGCGUGUAGGCUGGUUUUCCAGGCAAAUCCGGAAAAUCAAGGCUGAGGCGUGAUGACGAGGCACUACGGUGCUGAAGCAACAAAUGCCCUGCUUCCAGGAAAAGCCUCUAAGCAUCAGGUAACAUCAAAUCGUACCCCAAACCGACACAGGUGGUCAGGUAGAGAAUACCAAGGCGCUUGAGAGAACUCGGGUGAAGGAACUAGGCAAAAUGGUGCCGUAACUUCGGGAGAAGGCACGCUGAUAUGUAGGUGAAGUCCCUCGCGGAUGGAGCUGAAAUCAGUCGAAGAUACCAGCUGGCUGCAACUGUUUAUUAAAAACACAGCACUGUGCAAACACGAAAGUGGACGUAUACGGUGUGACGCCUGCCCGGUGCCGGAAGGUUAAUUGAUGGGGUUAGCGCAAGCGAAGCUCUUGAUCGAAGCCCCGGUAAACGGCGGCCGUAACUAUAACGGUCCUAAGGUAGCGAAAUUCCUUGUCGGGUAAGUUCCGACCUGCACGAAUGGCGUAAUGAUGGCCAGGCUGUCUCCACCCGAGACUCAGUGAAAUUGAACUCGCUGUGAAGAUGCAGUGUACCCGCGGCAAGACGGAAAGACCCCGUGAACCUUUACUAUAGCUUGACACUGAACAUUGAGCCUUGAUGUGUAGGAUAGGUGGGAGGCUUUGAAGUGUGGACGCCAGUCUGCAUGGAGCCGACCUUGAAAUACCACCCUUUAAUGUUUGAUGUUCUAACGUUGACCCGUAAUCCGGGUUGCGGACAGUGUCUGGUGGGUAGUUUGACUGGGGCGGUCUCCUCCUAAAGAGUAACGGAGGAGCACGAAGGUUGGCUAAUCCUGGUCGGACAUCAGGAGGUUAGUGCAAUGGCAUAAGCCAGCUUGACUGCGAGCGUGACGGCGCGAGCAGGUGCGAAAGCAGGUCAUAGUGAUCCGGUGGUUCUGAAUGGAAGGGCCAUCGCUCAACGGAUAAAAGGUACUCCGGGGAUAACAGGCUGAUACCGCCCAAGAGUUCAUAUCGACGGCGGUGUUUGGCACCUCGAUGUCGGCUCAUCACAUCCUGGGGCUGAAGUAGGUCCCAAGGGUAUGGCUGUUCGCCAUUUAAAGUGGUACGCGAGCUGGGUUUAGAACGUCGUGAGACAGUUCGGUCCCUAUCUGCCGUGGGCGCUGGAGAACUGAGGGGGGCUGCUCCUAGUACGAGAGGACCGGAGUGGACGCAUCACUGGUGUUCGGGUUGUCAUGCCAAUGGCACUGCCCGGUAGCUAAAUGCGGAAGAGAUAAGUGCUGAAAGCAUCUAAGCACGAAACUUGCCCCGAGAUGAGUUCUCCCUGACCCUUUAAGGGUCCUGAAGGAACGUUGAAGACGACGACGUUGAUAGGCCGGGUGUGUAAGCGCAGCGAUGCGUUGAGCUAACCGGUACUAAUGAACCGUGAGGCUUAACCUUACAACGCCGAAGCUGUU